RNAcentral lists this ribosomal RNA (1032 nucleotides) under Rosellinia necatrix. RNAcentral's name for it is "partial large subunit ribosomal RNA". It matches the Rfam family "Eukaryotic large subunit ribosomal RNA", at positions 46 to 1110 of the family's 3401-position model. The record is from RNAcentral. Lineage: Eukaryota; Fungi; Ascomycota; Sordariomycetes; Xylariales; Xylariaceae.
UCAGGCGGGGAGAGACCAACAGGGAUUGCCUCAGUAACGGCGAGUGAAGCGGCAACAGCUCAAAUUUGAAAUCUGGCCCUCGGGUCCGAGUUGUAAUUUGUAGAGGAUGCUUUUGGCGCGGUGCCUUCCGAGUUCCCUGGAACGGGACGCCUUAGAGGGUGAGAGCCCCGUACGGUUGGACACCAAGCCUCUGUAAAGCUCCUUCGACGAGUCGAGUAGUUUGGGAAUGCUGCUCUAAAUGGGAGGUAAAUUUCUUCUAAAGCUAAAUAUUGGCCAGAGACCGAUAGCGCACAAGUAGAGUGAUCGAAAGAUGAAAAGCACUUUGAAAAGAGGGUUAAAUAGCACGUGAAAUUGUUGAAAGGGAAGCGUUUGCGACCAGACCUUUUCCUGGCGGAUCAUCCGGUGUUCUCACCGGUGCACUUCGCCAGGUCGAGGCCAGCAUCGGUUUCCGCGGGGGGAUAAAAGCUCUGGGAACGUAGCUCCUCCGGGAGUGUUAUAGCCCUCUGCACAAUACCCCCGCGGGGACCGAGGACCGCGCUCUAAGCAAGGAUGCUGGCGUAAUGGUUGUCAACGACCCGUCUUGAAACACGGACCAAGGAGUCGAACAUUUGUGCGAGUGUUUGGGUGUCAAACCCUCACGCGUAAUGAAGGUGAACGUAGGUGAGAGCCCUUACGGGUGCAUCAUCGACCGAUCCUGAUGUCUUCGGAUGGAUUUGAGUAAGAGCAUAACUGUUCGGACCCGAAAGAUGGUGAACUAUGCGUGGAUAGGGUGAAGCCAGAGGAAACUCUGGUGGAGGCUCGCAGCGGUUCUGACGUGCAAAUCGAUCGUCAAAUCUGCGCAUGGGGGCGAAAGACUUAUCGAACCAUCUAGUAGCUGGUUACCGCCGAAGUUUCCCUCAGAUAGCAGUGUUGUUCUUCAGUUUUAUGAGUAAAGCGAAUGAUUAGGGACUCGGGGGCGCUUUUUUGCCUUCAUCCAUUCUCAAACUUUAAAUAUGUAAGAAGCCCUUGUUACUUAAUUGAACGUGGGCAUUC